This 224-nucleotide ribosomal RNA is filed under the name Pomacanthus semicirculatus (semicircle angelfish). RNAcentral describes it as "partial 16S ribosomal RNA". Lineage: Eukaryota; Metazoa; Chordata; Actinopteri; Pomacanthidae. The record is from RNAcentral.
GCUAAAAAGCUAGCCUUCCCCCAAAAAACAACCAACCAAUAUUUAUAACCCAAAACAAAUUAAUUAACCCUAAUAACAAACCAUUUUCCCUCCUUAGUAUAGGCGAUAGAAAAGGAACCUUAGAGCAAUAGUGAAAGUACCGCAAGGGAACGCUGAAAGAGAAAUGAAACAACCCAGUUAAGCCUAGAAAAGCAGAGAUUCUGACUCGUACCUUUGGCAUCAUG